Molecule: ribosomal RNA, 463 nt
Filed under: uncultured bacterium
Lineage: Bacteria
Description: partial 16S ribosomal RNA
Rfam family: Bacterial small subunit ribosomal RNA
Source: RNAcentral
GAUGAACGCUGACAGAAUGCUUAACACAUGCAAGUCGAUGGGGAAGUGGUGCUUGCACCAUGGCAACCAUGGCGGACGGGUGAGUAACGCGUAAGGGACUUACCUGCAGGACUGGGAUAACAGGGGGAAACUCCUGACAAGACCGGAUAAUGUCAUGGAGCUGCAUGGCUUUAUGAUGAAAGGAGACGCCUGCGGAGAGCCUUGCGUCCUAUUAGCUAGUUGGUGAGGUAAUGGCUCACCAAGGCGAAGAUAGGUAGCCGGCCUGAGAGGGUGGACGGCCACAAGGGGACUGAGAUACGGCACUUACUACUACGGGAGGCAGCAGUGGGGAAUAUUGGACAAUGGGGGCAACCCUGAUCCAGCAAUUCUGUGUGCACGAAGAAGGUUUUCGGAUUGUAAAGUGCUUUCAGCAGGGAAGAAGUAAGUGACGGUACCUGCAGAAGAAGCGACGGCUAAAUACGUG